AUUGAACGCUGGCGGCAUGCCUUACACAUGCAAGUCGAACGGCAGCACGGGUGCUUGCACCUGGUGGCGAGUGGCGAACGGGUGAGUAAUACAUCGGAACAUGUCCUGUAGUGGGGGAUAGCCCGGCGAAAGCCGGAUUAAUACCGCAUACGAUCUACGGAUGAAAGCGGGGGACCUUCGGGCCUCGCGCUAUAGGGUUGGCCGAUGGCUGAUUAGCUAGUUGGUGGGGUAAAGGCCUACCAAGGCGACGAUCAGUAGCUGGUCUGAGAGGACGACCAGCCACACUGGGACUGAGACACGGCCCAGACUCCUACGGGAGGCAGCAGUGGGGAAUUUUGGACAAUGGGCGAAAGCCUGAUCCAGCAAUGCCGCGUGUGGGAAGAAGGCCUUCGGGUUGUAAAGCACUUUUGUCCGGAAAGAAAUCCUUGGCCCUAAUACGGUCGGGGGAUGACGGUACCGGAAGAAUAAGCACCGGCUAACUACGUGC
This 487-nucleotide ribosomal RNA is filed under the name uncultured bacterium. RNAcentral describes it as "partial 16S ribosomal RNA". It matches the Rfam family "Bacterial small subunit ribosomal RNA", at positions 30 to 508 of the family's 1533-position model. The record is from RNAcentral.